Non-coding RNA from Hydra vulgaris (swiftwater hydra), 349 nucleotides. NCBI's taxonomy places the organism in Eukaryota, Metazoa, Cnidaria, Hydrozoa, Anthoathecata, Hydridae. The record is from RefSeq and is a predicted model, not a curated record.
AAGUAAUAUAAUAUUUGUUGCUGCCUUAUAAUAAUUAUACAUGUAUUAGUUUGAAUAAAUCAUUUUAAUUAAGUUGCACUAUAGGCAGGAAUAAUUGACUGGAAAUAUAACCAAUGUUCUACAUAAUGCAGAUAGCUUAGGCAAAAAAGAGAUUGGUGAAAUGGAGAAUGAGUCUAACUACGGUGAAAAAAAUAAUGAAUAUCAAAAUGUGAAUGCUACUUUGUUUGAGAUCUACCUGUUUCUACAAAUACAGUGCAGUCGCACUUAUAAAUGGGCUUGAUGUUUUUUUGGAUUAAAUAUGUUGUAUUGAUGGUUCUUUUUAACUUGUUAAAACUUGAAUGAUUUUAUA